Molecule: long non-coding RNA, 668 nt
Organism: Perca fluviatilis (European perch)
Lineage: Eukaryota; Metazoa; Chordata; Actinopteri; Perciformes; Percidae
Exons: 5
Source: RefSeq, a predicted model, not a curated record
UAUUGCUAUGUUUUCUCCAGGUUAUUUUGAAUGGACAGCUUUGUCGCUGAUAAGCUAACUGACUGGCGGCUGUCUGAGCUGACAGAGAAUUUUAGAGGCCAUCCACAAACAUAAAAGAGGCCCUGGCGCUAUCAUUGGUUCAGACAUUCCCUGAAUGAUGGAUCAGAAAUUGGCUAUUUCCAGAGACUCCAGAAUGAAAACCAAGCUCUGAGGGAGGAGAACCACACCAUGAGGGAAAGCAAUGCACGAGCAGCUUCGGAUGACAGCGGCUCACUUCAAGAGCAGGUGAAGCAAGUUGGGACAAUGUUGAAGACGUUUGCUUGCACUUGGCAAUCAGGUGCAGAUCAGACCCUAAUGCUGCGACGUCUUGGAGAGUUUGGCGAUGUUGUGCGUAGCAUGGACAACAAAAUGGAAACUAUGCAGCAACAUUUCAGUGCCAAUGUGUCUGUUGGAGAGCCACUGAUGAGGCGGUCCAGGUUAACGUUACGCGUUAGCUGAAAGGAGCAUCUGACCGUGAAGGCGGAAAAAGGCGCCGCACAGCUGAGAGGGACCCACAGCUGACCCCUUAAACCUAGGCUGACUACUGACACCCCCUUAUCACUGACAACUGGAACACUUUCUUUAUCCUGCAGUCAGUAACAUCAAGAAGCCAGAAGUGCCAGACUACA